RNAcentral lists this ribosomal RNA (429 nucleotides) under Chloroflexota bacterium. Its description in RNAcentral is "Chloroflexi bacterium partial 16S ribosomal RNA". It matches the Rfam family "Bacterial small subunit ribosomal RNA", at positions 355 to 776 of the family's 1533-position model. Lineage: Bacteria; Bacillati; Chloroflexota. The record is from RNAcentral.
UAGGGAAUCUUCGGCAAUGGACGAAAGUCUGACCGAGCAACGCCGCGUGAGUGAAGAAGGUUUUCGGAUCGUAAAACUCUGUUGUUAGAGAAGAACAAGGACGUUAGUAACUGAACGUCCCCUGACGGUAUCUAACCAGAAAGCCACGGCUAACUACGUGCCAGCAGCCGCGGUAAUACGUAGGUGGCAAGCGUUGUCCGGAUUUAUUGGGCGUAAAGCGAGCGCAGGCGGUUUCUUAAGUCUGAUGUGAAAGCCCCCGGCUCAACCGGGGAGGGUCAUUGGAAACUGGGAGACUUGAGUGCAGCAGAGGGGAGUGGAAUUCCAUGUGUAGCGGUGAAAUGCGUAGAUAUAUGGAGGAACACCAGUGGCGAAGGCGGCUCUCUGGUCUGUAACUGACGCUGAGGCUCGAAAGCGUGGGGAGCAAACAGG